GACGAACGCUGGCGGCGCGCCUAAUACAUGCAAGUAGAACGCUGAAGGAGGAGCUUGCUCUUCUGGAUGAGUUGCGAACGGGUGAGUAACGCGUAGGUAACCUGCCUGGUAGCGGGGGAUAACUAUUGGAAACGAUAGCUAAUACCGCAUAAGAGUAGAUGUUGCAUGACAUUUACUUAAAAGGUGCAAUUGCAUCACUACCAGAUGGACCUGCGUUGUAUUAGCUAGUUGGUGGGGUAACGGCUUACCAAGGCGACGAUACAUAGCCGACCUGAGAGGGGGGGCGACCACAGUGGGACGGGGGCGCCGCCCAACACCCUACGGGAGGAGGCAGGAGGGGAUCUGGGGCAAGGGGCGGAGGCCUGACCGAGCACCGCCGGGGGGGGAAAAAAUGUUUUGGGAUCGAAAAGCUCUGUUGAAAGAGAAGAAGGAGUGGGGGGGGGAAAAGUCCACACUGUGACGUUAUCUAACCAAAAAGGGACGGCUAACUACGUG
This 495-nucleotide ribosomal RNA is filed under the name uncultured bacterium. RNAcentral describes it as "partial 16S ribosomal RNA". It matches the Rfam family "Bacterial small subunit ribosomal RNA", at positions 28 to 507 of the family's 1533-position model. The record is from RNAcentral.